GCCCUCAUAGCUCAGUUGGUAGAGCGCGUUCUUGGUAAGAACGAGGUCAUCAGUUCGAAUCUGAUUGAGGGCUCCA
Molecule: transfer RNA, 76 nt
Filed under: Chloroflexota bacterium
Lineage: Bacteria; Bacillati; Chloroflexota
Also listed under: 1 other name
Description: Chloroflexi bacterium tRNA-Thr
Rfam family: tRNA
About the family: Transfer RNA (tRNA) molecules are approximately 80 nucleotides in length. Their secondary structure includes four short double-helical elements and three loops (D, anti-codon, and T loops).
Source: RNAcentral